This is a transfer RNA of 75 nucleotides. It matches the Rfam family "tRNA". From Rfam's summary of the family: Transfer RNA (tRNA) molecules are approximately 80 nucleotides in length.
AAUAAGGUACUAGUAUAACUGACAGAACACUGCUUUGUCAAGGCAGAAGUGUGGGUUAAACCCCCACGUACCUUG